Molecule: long non-coding RNA, 221 nt
Filed under: Elaeis guineensis (African oil palm)
Lineage: Eukaryota; Viridiplantae; Streptophyta; Magnoliopsida; Arecales; Arecaceae
Description: long non-coding RNA (EGUI_LNC023549)
Source: RNAcentral
AAGUAACUUGGGGGUGAUAGGUGACCAGAGUGGGUUGAUCUAGGGGUGGACAAGGAGAUUGAGGUUCUUUGAUCAAAUGAACAAGCUUCUCAACAAUCGGACCUUACUAGGGAUUUGGAAGAUUGGGGCGGGACUUACCUAUGCAAAGCUAGUGCUUAGAGUUGAGCAUUUGGUCAUGAAAAACGACUCUACUACUGUUAUUAGAUAGAUCCAGAGUUGGA